RNAcentral lists this ribosomal RNA (484 nucleotides) under uncultured bacterium. Its description in RNAcentral is "partial 16S ribosomal RNA". It matches the Rfam family "Bacterial small subunit ribosomal RNA", at positions 30 to 507 of the family's 1533-position model. The record is from RNAcentral.
AUUGAACGCUGGCGGCAGGCCUAACACAUGCAAGUCGAGCGGAUGAAGGGAGCUUGCUCCCGGAUUCAGCGGCGGACGGGUGAGUAAUGCCUAGGAAUCUGCCUGGUAGUGGGGGAUAACGUCCGGAAACGGGCGCUAAUACCGCAUACGUCCUGAGGGAGAAAGUGGGGGAUCUUCGGACCUCACGCUAUCAGAUGAGCCUAGGUCGGAUUAGCUAGUUGGUGGGGUAAAGGCCUACCAAGGCGACGAUCCGUAACUGGUCUGAGAGGAUGAUCAGUCACACUGGAACUGAGACACGGUCCAGACCCCUACGGGAGGCAGCAGUGGGGAAUAUUGGACAAUGGGCGAAAGCCUGAUCCAGCCAUGCCGCGUGUGUGAAGAAGGUCUUCGGAUUGUAAAGCACUUUAAGUUGGGAGGAAGGGCAGUAAGUUAAUACCUUGCUGUUUUGACGUUACCAACAGAAUAAGCACCGGCUAACUUCGUG